This 274-nucleotide ribosomal RNA is filed under the name uncultured bacterium. RNAcentral describes it as "partial 16S ribosomal RNA". It matches the Rfam family "Bacterial small subunit ribosomal RNA", at positions 523 to 796 of the family's 1533-position model. The record is from RNAcentral.
AUACGGAGGGUGCAAGCGUUAUCCGGAUUUACUGGGUUUAAAGGGUACGCAGGCGGUAAUUUAAGUCAGUGGUGAAAGCCUACAGCUCAACUGUAGAACUGCCAUUGAAACUGAAUUACUUGAGUAUGGUAGAGGUAGGCGGAAUACAACAUGUAGCGGUGAAAUGCAUAGAUAUGUUGUAGAACACCGAUUGCGAAGGCAGCUUACUAAACCAUUACUGACGCUCAUGUACGAAAGCGUGGGGAGCGAACAGGAGUAGAAACCCUAGUAGUCC